Long non-coding RNA from Sparus aurata (gilthead seabream), 2474 nucleotides. The record is from Ensembl. Lineage: Eukaryota; Metazoa; Chordata; Actinopteri; Spariformes; Sparidae.
AUGCUGCUUCUGUCCUGCAGGUUUCUUCAUAUUUGUGUUCCACUGUGCGGUGAAGGAGAACGUGAGGAGGCAGUGGAGGACCUACCUGUGCUGCGGCAAGAUGAGGCUAGCAGAGAACUCAGAAUGGAGCCGCACCGCAACACAGAAGACCAUGAAGAAGGCAUCAGUGACCAGACUGACAUCUCUUAAUUCCUCAAAUUCCAACAACUCGUCCGGCUCCUCGUCGUUCCUCGUCAGUGAAUCUUCAGAGCAGAUUAACGGCAUCGGUGAGUGACGGCAGACCGUCAUUGCGAUUGAGUCACAGCCACUUAAUAGUGAGAUGUUUAGUUACUCUUAAUUAAUUUGAAGAUUAGACUGUUGGUACAAGAAGCAGACAAAGGUUUACUCAAUCUGCCUAAAGCUGUUGCAGCUCUUAGAAUACAUGUGUCUGUACCUUGGUUUUCGUGCGAUGGUCUGAUAUGUCAUGAAUUUACCCAGUGGUGCUGUUGCAGGAAGUCCAUUUGACGACAGAACGAUCACAGCUGAUGAAGACCCCAGUUCGGAUGUGGUCCUCAACGAGAUCAACAGGCAGUACAGAAACCAGCAAGCGCCCUGAUCCCAAAGAGGACAGAACAGACAGUUAAAUGGCUUUUAUUUUGAAAUACUUGUAUAUAAUGUAAAUUGAAGUAAUUUAUCUACUGUCCAUGUAACAUGUAUUAUAUGACUUGAAAUGCAAAUGCAAAGGAAAGCCUCCAUUAUACAUGACACGUAAUGUUUGGAACUUUCCUACAAUCAUGCUUUUUAUAUGCGUAUGAGCUUAUAAGCUUUGCACUGAAAUGCUAUCAAUAUGUGUUCAUAUUCUAAUGGUAUGUUGCAUACACUGAUGCUGACCCAACAGACUGAUACCAGUCAAGUCUUAUAAGUGGUUAAUUCAAUAUUGUACAACUUCACAAACUAGUCUGACCAUAGACUAGGAGUGACCAAACUUUUCCCAUGAAGGGGAACUGGAACUUAAAAACAUGUAUUGUAUUGAUUAGAUGCAAAAUGGUUCCUCGGUAUCACCAGUUCCCUCAAUUGUCUGACUUCCUGCACAGUGUCACUCUGCCGGCCAUGCUCAGACUGUGUCAUAUUUAUUAAAUAGGGAGCCAACAUAUUUAGAGAUCAUUUUGCCUCACACAAAAAGAAAAAAAAAAUGAAAGAGCAUAAACAUUAUUAGGAUUUUUAACAAAAGUUAACCUCAUGACCGGCCAACUUCGGUCCAUGAACCCACUUUGGGCAGCCAUAAUACGGCUGCAACAGUAGUGCAAAAAUAAAAAAAAAGAAUCGUGUCAUACAGAAUAAAAACAUCCACUUGCCUAAACAGUACAAAUAAUAAAAUGUAUAAUAUUGUUUCAAGUACACUUUAUUAAAAUGUCUUAUUGUUUGGAUGUUCUUGCCGACGUUAGGCCAACAAAUAAGCUAUGACGGUUUCAAGAGGAAACUAUAAAACAUAAAUAAAGGGCUAAAAACCCACUUUAUAAGACAGCAUUUAGCACAAUUUAUUGAGGAAACAGACUAGUGCUUUGCAUGUCAGCAUGCUAAUAUUGCAGCAUGAGGUUGACAUUAAUUUGGAAAUCAGAGGUAUCCUGUCUAUCAGGUGUGCGGUGAAAAAGUGAAGACUUCAGUAUUAGCUGAGAAGUGAGUGGAAUAGCAAAAGUCUUCAGUCUUUACUGGCUGUUGUGUUAGGGUGAGUAGCUAUAGGAGCUGGCUUGCAUCAAGUAGCUUUUGUAAGAGGUGUUUGGUCUGUGAACCCAGAAGAGAACUGUGUCUGUCACUGUAAUGUGUCAUGCAAUUACAAUGUUUUAAGCAAGGUUUUGCAUUAUUCAGUCACGUGGUUCUAUCGUUGCACGGAAAAAGGCUCUGAUUGACACAGCUCUUAAGAGAUCCAAGCAGCAAUGCUGGGGGAAAAAAGUCUCCACUGAUCCAACACAGAGGUUACGUCCCCAUUUAAUCAUAAAUUAAGACCCUGACGGCUGUUUUAAAUCAUUCUAGCUAAUUAGCCCUCUGCUAAAGUCAAAUGUGGGUAAAGCUAUGCUGGGAAUUAAAUUAGGUUGUGGCCAGACAAACAUCGAUUAGGUGCCACAGCCCAUUUUCAAAACAGACAUGUUUACUUUUAGUUGAAGAAAGAGCACAGUCAGUAAUUAAGUCUCCGUUCUACUUAAAACCACAACUGUGUGACAAUGGGCUGAGAUGUACGAUACAGAACAUUGAAACAGAGGCGGGACUCAUUUAUUUACGUGUGCUUUUCCUGCUGUGACAUGUGAAAAUACCCUCUGUGGCAAAGGCCCAUUCGUCCUGAAGCAAGACGCCAAUCACAGUCUACACUUGCCUGCCAACACACCUGAGAGGAUGUCUAAUCAGCUAAAAUAAGUGAGAACACCUGGGAUGGUGCACCAGGGGUGUGGGUGUGUAGGAAGUCUUCAUCCAAACCAAACACCUUGCACCGAGGUUGUAAU